GGGGUUGUGGCUCAGAGGUAGAGCACUCACCUAGCAUGUGUGAGGCACUGUGUUCAAUCCUCAGCACCA
Molecule: transfer RNA, 69 nt
Filed under: Urocitellus parryii (Arctic ground squirrel)
Lineage: Eukaryota; Metazoa; Chordata; Mammalia; Rodentia; Sciuridae
Also listed under: 2 other names
Description: Spermophilus parryii (Arctic ground squirrel) tRNA
Rfam family: tRNA
About the family: Transfer RNA (tRNA) molecules are approximately 80 nucleotides in length. Their secondary structure includes four short double-helical elements and three loops (D, anti-codon, and T loops).
Source: Rfam by way of RNAcentral